AUCCCUACGGGACGCAGCAGUGAGGAAUAUUGGUCAAUGGGCGGGAGCCUGAACCAGCCAAGCCGCGUGAGGGAAGAAGGUACAGCGUAUCGUAAACCUCUUUUGUCAGGGAACAAAGGCGGGGACUAGUCCCCGGAUGAGAGUACCCGAAGAAAAAGCAUCGGCUAACUCCGUGCCAGCAGCCGCGGUAAUACGGAGGAUGCGAGCGUUAUCCGGAUUUAUUGGGUUUAAAGGGUGCGCAGGCGGAGGUGCAAGUCAGCGGUCAAAUUGCGGGGCUCAACCCCGGACUGCCGUUGAAACUGCAU
RNAcentral lists this ribosomal RNA (305 nucleotides) under uncultured bacterium. RNAcentral's name for it is "bacterial SSU rRNA". It matches the Rfam family "Bacterial small subunit ribosomal RNA", at positions 335 to 638 of the family's 1533-position model. The record is from RNAcentral.